RNAcentral lists this ribosomal RNA (460 nucleotides) under uncultured bacterium. RNAcentral's name for it is "partial 16S ribosomal RNA". It matches the Rfam family "Bacterial small subunit ribosomal RNA", at positions 338 to 795 of the family's 1533-position model. The record is from RNAcentral.
CCUACGGGUGGCAGCAGUAAGGAAUAUUGGUCAAUGGACGAGAGUCUGAACCAGCCAAGUAGCGUGAAGGAUGACUGCCCUAUGGGUUGUAAACUUCUUUUAUAGAGGAAUAAAACGAGGCACGUGUGCCUUUUUGCAUGUACUUUAUGAAUACGGAUCGGCUAACUCCGUGCCAGCAGCCGCGGUAAUCCGGAGGGUCCGGGCGUUAUCCGGGUUUAUUGGGUUUAAAGGGAGGGAAGAUGGGUUGUUAAGUCAGUUGUGAAAGUGGGCGGCUCAACCGUAAAAUUGCAAUUGAUACUGGCAGUCUUGAGUACAGUAGAGGUAGGCGGAAUUCGUGGUGUAGCGGUGAAAUGCUUAGAUAUUACGAAGAACCCCGAUUGCGAAGGCAGCUUACUAAACUGGUACUGACAUUGAUGCUCGAAAGUGUGGGUAUCAAACAGGAUUAGAUACCCUAGUAGUC